RNAcentral lists this ribosomal RNA (490 nucleotides) under uncultured bacterium. RNAcentral's name for it is "partial 16S ribosomal RNA". It matches the Rfam family "Bacterial small subunit ribosomal RNA", at positions 30 to 507 of the family's 1533-position model. The record is from RNAcentral.
AUUGAACGCUGGCGGCAGGCCUAACACAUGCAAGUCGAACGGUAACAGGAAGCAGCUUGCUGCUUUGCUGACGAGUGGCGGACGGGUGAGUAAUGUCUGGGAAACUGCCCGAUGGAGGGGGAUAACUACUGGAAACGGUAGCUAAUACCGCAUAACGUCGCAAGACCAAAGAGGGGGACCUUAGGGCCUCUUGCCAUCGGAUGUGCCCAGAUGGGAUUAGCUAGUAGGUGGGGUAACGGCUCACCUAGGCGACGAUCCCUAGCUGGUCUGAGAGGAUGACCAGCCACACUGGAACUGAGACACGGUCCAGACUCCUACGGGGGGCAGCAGUGGGGAAUAUUGCACAAUGGGCGCAAGCCUGAUGCAGCCAUGCCGCGUGUAUGAAGAAGGCCUUCGGGUUGUAAAGUACUUUCAGCGGGGAGGAAGGGAGUAAAGUUAAUACCUUUGCUCAUUGACGUUACCCGCAGAAGAAGCACCGGCUAACUCCGUG